AUCUUAUGUUGUAUGUAUGUGUGUAUGUGCAUGUAGCAUGUACUCAUGUGUACAUGUGCAUA
Molecule: microRNA precursor, 62 nt
Filed under: Mustela putorius furo (domestic ferret)
Lineage: Eukaryota; Metazoa; Chordata; Mammalia; Carnivora; Mustelidae
Description: miRNA (ENSMPUG00000022446.1)
Source: RNAcentral